GGUGUGGGAUGGGCUGGAUUUGUGCAACUGAACUUCUGCGAUAGUAUGCCACAAUUAAAUAACAUCUAACUUUAUUACAAUAUGAUAUUAUUUUAGUGUAAAUUAUGGUACAUAUUAUAAACAUAGAAACGUCAAAGGCACUGAAAAUAUUUCCGAAAAAGACAAGUCUUCGUGAACAAAAAAACUUGCACCUCUUGGCCAUGUGAAGCUCCUUCCACAAGCAGGUCAGCCACUGACUAACGCACAUUGCGCCUGUUCCUUUUCCACUGUGCGUGUGACAGCGGCUAACCAGCUUUUCGGGGUAUCCGUCGCUAGGGAUGCAAAGGAGCCAAAGAGAGACUGCGCAGCUUGUAGAAGUUUACUGUGUGAAUCGGCAUCUACGUUUUUCGCCAAACUCAAACAGUUGUGUGGAAGUUAUUCUGCCAUGCAUGCAUACACUAUGUUCACUCAGUCAGGAGUUGAUGUCGUAAUUGCACUCAGUUCCAGCCAUUGUCCCCUAACGACUUUCCGCAUACUGCCAAAACACAAAGUGAGCGACAAGUGAGUUUUCAUCUUUCAUCAUUUUCCUCAUACAGAUAGUUCAAGUCAGAUGUUGAAUUGUGGGCAAAUGUGUAAAUACUAAGUAUAUUAAUUAUGAUUUUUAAUAGCACCUGUCGACAUUCAUCUCAAUGACUGUGUAGUCCAUCUCAGAGACCGUGUGAUCAGUUUCACUGAAGAUAUGGUUUAUUACAGUGACAGCAAUUACUUUAAAUUUGAAUUGUCAACCACAUUCAAAUAUUCCGGUACUAAUUUUAUGGUAUAUUAUUGCAUUUAGUAUAGUAGUUGUUUAUUAGGUAUACUUAUACAUAUAUAUUUAUACAUAUUCUGUACUCAGACAGACAGUGUACACUUGUGCCUUGCACCCAAACAUGCAAGUCACCAAAACAUCCAAACAUUUUGUGUUUCUUUGCACCCUAUGGGACUACCCCCUUUCAGGGGCCCCAGACUCAAACUAGCUCACACCUUUAGCUUUAGCUCCUUCCUUUACCUGCUCUCAUUAUUCUGGUGCUUCACAUUCAUUCUUUAUAGCCGUGGGUUGACGUCAGGAACUACUCAUCUGAUCAAAGGUCCUAAUAGGUAGUGUUGUGUUUACUCUCAGUAAUGUACUCACCCCCUUCAGAUUCAGUUCAGUCAAGCUGUUCCUGGAGCCUCCUUAAUCCUGCUUGUGAUGGCAAGUAAAAGGGGAAUACUUCCUCCACAGAGCGCCAUUGAUAGGGAGGAGUCUGUAUUUCUGUGCAGUGCAGGUUUUCGGGAUCAAAGCCUCAAGUUAUAAAAACAAAGCAUAGGAAAACAGGGCAGAAGGCUACUGUGUGAGCUCCUUUGGGUUUAUUUUAAGAGUGUUCUCUUGCUUGAGGCCACAAACCUUCCAAUGCCCUAAACCUGUUAU
Long non-coding RNA from Anguilla anguilla (European eel), 1426 nucleotides. RefSeq lists it as uncharacterized. Lineage: Eukaryota; Metazoa; Chordata; Actinopteri; Anguilliformes; Anguillidae. The record is from RefSeq and is a predicted model, not a curated record. The transcript has 2 exons.